GAUACCCUAUCUACAAGGGUCAACGUGCCUCUGCUGCACAAUAUACAAUGUAUCCAAGAUGCCGGGAUCUCUACUAUCCCUAGAACCAUGUCACGUUUACUACACUAGACUCGAUGCCACUCGUUCGAUCAUUGUAGUAAGUUUUCUAGUUAAUUGACAUGCCACUCGUUCUAGUUUAGUGUUUCUACUACACUAGUUCAAUGCCACUCUACUAGGCUAUCAUAUGUCCAAGUUCGGCUCUUUAUGCCAUUAUAGGAUUCCCAUGUCACAAAACCCAAUCCUCAUGCUACCCUAGUUCAUGUGUCUAACUCAUAGUUACACUACUAAGAAGCAUGCAAGGAAUUAGAAUUGCAACUAUCUGCUAAUCCUAUAAUGCAAUAUGAUCAACACAUAUAUAACUUAGACAUAAAAAGAAACCCGGAUGUUUCGGUAUGACACCCCCCACCUUUUGGUAGUGUCACAAGGCUAGGCUCUCAUCUGCACGUUCCCUAGUCGCCGCUUUACUCUUCGGUCUACACAAGGCCGCCUGCGCUUGUUUCUGCCAGAACGUCGCACCCGCUCGACGAAUCGACGAACCGACGAUUCCCACGCGUUUAGGCACCUCAAACACAAGCUUUUCCUCAAGCCAAGUAAUGAAGAGGAUGAAUACUUCACCUCCAAGCAACCUUUUUCUUCUCCAAAUGCACCUCCAAUUCCUCUCUUGGGUGGAGAAAUUGUUAGAGAGAGAGAUAUUUCUCUUUGGUUGCAAGUGUGAGGGAGAAAGAAAGAAAAGGCUCAAGUCCCCUAUAUAUAUAUAUAGGAAACUUGGCCUCCAAGUUUCAUAGGAAACUUGGCCUCCAAGUUAUCUAGGAACACUAUUCACAUUCGGUUUAGCAGCACGGUACAGAUAUAUAUCGUCUGCCCUGUCUCUCACAGAAAAUUCUAAAUCUUCUGUUUUCGCUUCCAUUUCAGCACGGGUCACUCUAGACUUAUAAUUUAUGUCUAUAAGUCCAAUAAAAAUAGUAUCCCACACUAUUUUUAUUUAUUUUCACUUUUACAUUUAAAAUCCGGUACCUUACACAUUUUCUCAAAAUAAUGUCCAUAAGAAAUCACACGAUGAGGAAGCAGGGAUC
Molecule: long non-coding RNA, 1112 nt
Filed under: Ananas comosus (pineapple)
Lineage: Eukaryota; Viridiplantae; Streptophyta; Magnoliopsida; Poales; Bromeliaceae
Description: long non-coding RNA (ACOM_LNC044021)
Source: RNAcentral